RNAcentral lists this ribosomal RNA (377 nucleotides) under uncultured bacterium. RNAcentral describes it as "bacterial SSU rRNA". It matches the Rfam family "Bacterial small subunit ribosomal RNA", at positions 521 to 896 of the family's 1533-position model. The record is from RNAcentral.
UAAUACGUAGGGGGCGAGCGUUGUCCGGAUUUACUGGGCGUAAAGCGCGUGUAGGCGGUACGAGCAGUCUGCCGUGAAAGCUCUCGGCUUAACCGGGAGAGGUCGGUGGAAACUCUCGCACUAGAGGACGGUAGAGGGGGGUGGAAUUCCCGGUGUAGUGGUGAAAUGCGUAGAUAUCGGGAGGAACACCAGUGGCGAAGGCGGCCCCCUGGGCCGCUCCUGACGCUGAGACGCGAAGGCCAGGGUAGCGAACGGGAUUAGAUACCCCGGUAGUCCUGGCAGUAAACGAUGAGCACUAGGUGUGGGGGGUAUCGAGCCCCUCCGCGCCGACGUCAACACAUUAAGUGCUCCGCCUGGGGAGUACGGCCGCAAGGUUA